GAUGAACGCUGGCGGCGUGCCUAAUACAUGCAAGUCGAGCGAACGGACGAGAAGCUUGCUUCUCUGAUGUUAGCGGCGGACAGGUGAGUAACACGUGGAUAACCUACCUAUAAGACUGGGAUAACUUCGGGAAACCGGAGCUAAUACCGGAUAAUAUUUUGAACCGCAUGGUUCAAAAGUGAAAGACGGUCUUGCUGUCACUUAUAGAUGGAUCCGCGCUGCAUUAGCUAGUUGGUAAGGUAACGGCUUACCAAGGCAACGAUGCAUAGCCGACCUGAGAGGGUGAUCGGCCACACUGGAACUGAGACACGGUCCAGACUCCUACGGGAGGCAGCAGUAGGGAAUCUUCCGCAAUGGGCGAAAGCCUGACGGAGCAACGCCGCGUGAGUGAUGAAGGUCUUCGGAUCGUAAAACUCUGUUAUUAGGGAAGAACAUAUGUGUAAGUAACUGUGCACAUCUUGACGGUACCUAAUCAGAAAGCCACGGCUAACUACGUGCCAGCAGCCGCGGUAAUACGUAGGUGGCAAGCGUUAUCCGGAAUUAUUGGGCGUAAAGCGCGCGUAGGCGGUUUUUUAAGUCUGAUGUGAAAGCCCACGGCUCAACCGUGGAGGGUCAUUGGAAACUGGAAAACUUGAGUGCAGAAGAGGAAAGUGGAAUUCCAUGUGUAGCGGUGAAAUGCGCAGGGAUAUGGAGGAACACCAGUGGCGAAGGCGACUUUCUGGUCUGUAACUGACGCUGAUGUGCGAAAGCGUGGGGAUCAAACAGGAUUAGAUACCCUGGUAGUCCACGCCGUAAACGAUGAGUGCUAAGUGUUAGGGGGUUUCCGCCCCUUAGUGCUGCAGCUAACGCAUUAAGCACUCCGCCUGGGGAGUACGACCGCAAGGUUGAAACUCAAAGGAAUUGACGGGGACCCGCACAAGCGGUGGAGCAUGUGGUUUAAUUCGAAGCAACGCGAAGAACCUUACCAAAUCUUGACAUCCUUUGACAACUCUAGAGAUAGAGCUUUCCCCUUCGGGGGACAAAGUGACAGGUGGUGCAUGGUUGUCGUCAGCUCGUGUCGUGAGAUGUUGGGUUAAGUCCCGCAACGAGCGCAACCCUUAAGCUUAGUUGCCAUCAUUAAGUUGGGCACUCUAAGUUGACUGCCGGUGACAAACCGGAGGAAGGUGGGGAUGACGUCAAAUCAUCAUGCCCCUUAUGAUUUGGGCUACACACGUGCUACAAUGGACAAUACAAAGGGCAGCGAAACCGUGAGGUCAAGCAAAUCCCAUAAAGUUGUUCUCAGUUCGGAUUGUAGUCUGCAACUCGACUACAUGAAGCUGGAAUCGCUAGUAAUCGUAGAUCAGCAUGCUACGGUGAAUACGUUCCCGGGUCU
Molecule: ribosomal RNA, 1372 nt
Filed under: uncultured bacterium
Lineage: Bacteria
Description: bacterial SSU rRNA
Rfam family: Bacterial small subunit ribosomal RNA
Source: RNAcentral